RNAcentral lists this small RNA (65 nucleotides) under Sinorhizobium meliloti 2011. RNAcentral's name for it is "putative ncRNA". Lineage: Bacteria; Pseudomonadati; Pseudomonadota; Alphaproteobacteria; Hyphomicrobiales; Rhizobiaceae. The record is from RNAcentral.
AGGAAUGUCUGAAGACCUGUUGAUUUUAAAAAUAAACAACAGAUUGAAUUAGUUUAGAAUUGCGA